AGGAAAAAAGAAAGCACGGGAGUCACUCCAUGCUGAGAUUUUGUACUUUUGUGUCUCCUGAAGUGAAUACAUCAGUCAGGAAUCAAAGGUUUUGGAAAGUCAUUCAGCCCCUCCAAAUGAGAAGGCGAGCCAUCUGCCUGCCGGGAUGGAGCUGUCCUCAAAGGCCGUGAGCCAGGGCUAAUCUCUGUGACACUGGGGUAAGCCUGGAGCAUCUCCUCCAGAGUUACAAGCAGCUCGCCUGGCAUCCCCGGUUCUGGCCUGGUGUGUUCAUCUUCAUGCCAGCAAAGCAUUUUGAACCCAGCCCUUUAAUGUUGUAUCACCAUAGUGAUGGGCUCCUCUGCUCCAGAGCGGGUGAGGAAUUGCUGCGGGGCCGUCCAGUGUUAAUUAGUUCUUUUUAGGCAAAAGUUGAACUCGGUGGGAGCUGCGAGUACAAGGUGCGGCACGUUUGGAGCUCUGCAGCCUCUCGUUGUCUUUGGUUUUAGCAAUGUCCUGCCAUCGAGUCCCACAUGCCACAGGAAAUCCCUUGUGUUUGCUGGAAGUUAGAGCAGUGAUGGAAAAUCGAUGGGAAGGAAAGAUGCUCUGUAUGAGAAACUGAUGAUCCACAUACGUCCUUAAGGCUUUGCAGAUGAUGCCAUUUGGAAAGCUUGGGCCAUGAUGCGAGAUCCCCAAGGUGCUCCAUUUUUGGGCAGGAGCCAAACAACUGCCAGGAUAACAGAGCACAAAGGAAAGCUGGAUCUGAGGCACUGGCUGGCUUAGAUCAUUGGGUUUGAACUGCCCUAAGGCGUUAUAGCUAAUGCGAGAGAUUGGCAUCUCCAAAGGUACCUCUGGCUGUUGAUUGCAGGAGUGCCUUGGGGAUGUCUCUCACCUGAGGCACUUCAGGCAGGUUCCUAAAGGUAAGUGAGAUGUGCCCAGGCCUAAGGGCAUGUCCUUGGGGUGGAACAGAUCCCAAAGGUAGUUCUGGCACAGGGUUGCAGAGAUGCUCUGAUUCCAGAAACUAGACUGCCCAUAUAAAACCUACAUCUUCCUCCAUGCUGCUUGGUGUUUCUGGGUCUGGAUUAGCUCUCUCAUACACAACUGGGGUGUCCCUGACCCCAUGGCACAGACCCGCCUAUAAGUCACAUUCAGAAUGAUGGCAAAGGAUGUUAACCAAACCACAGAAUGUUUUGGGUCCCUGGAAUCACAGAAAUGGACACAUCUGAGAUAGAUUUAGUUCUCUGGGUUUAAUAUGACAGAUCUCAACCACAAAUUUCUUAUCCAGAUUUGUUUGGAGCCAGGAUAUGGUUCAGGCCAAGUGUUUUGCUUUGUUUGUUUAUCUCGGAUAUGGUUUUGGAUGCUUAGCAGGAAAAAAAAAUCAAUGUUUAUGAUGUUCAUUUCAGAUCUCCUUUUGGCAGCUGGAUGAGAAAGGAAUGCCACCACAAAGGAGGGAUCACUGAGGCGAGGCUGAAGUUGUAUUCAAAGACAAGAGCGGUGCAGUGCAUUGCAGAUGUCAUAGAAUCACCACCGUGAUCAGGCAGCCUCUUCCCUGGAGUGACUCUGAGUUCUGAUUUCAAUUGGGGAAAUCAAGACCUGAGCAGAUCCCUUUUUUCAUUUCCAUUUAUUCUCAGGAAAGCACUCCUCGUCGAGUUGGGCCUAGCAAUAUGGCAGCGCACGUUCGGUAAGGAAUCUCAUCAAGUGCUGCUACGAGAUGCCGAACCCUUGAACCUCCUGUUCUUGGUCUGAAUUUUGGGCACUGAGAACUCUGGAAAAACUGAAUACUUUAAAGGAAGAAAUGCUGUCAGAUAGCAGAGAGUUGGAGCUGGGGGAAUAUUCUGGAUCGGUUCAUGAAGCGAAAGGAUUCUUUCUCUUUAAAAAUAGAAUGACAGUAGCACCCCGGCCCAGUAGUGACUUCUCUGAAAGUUAAAACAACUCUGAGGCAGUUGCUCUGUCUGCUUCCUCCGAGCUGCCAGCAUGGAAACGAGACCACUUCUUGCAGGAUGGGGGAUGUAACAGAGCCUGCACUGCAAUGUUCAGUGAUGCAGAAGUACAGACUGGCACCAGGAGUGGGGAGACUGGCUGCUCUGCUUGCGUCCCGCUGCUAUUUCUGGCAUGCAGAGACUGAGCGGUGUCUGCUGGCCCAAACAGGUUGAAGAUUCAGAGUUCAACGGUCUUUUAGAAAGGUGUUAGCAGAAUUGGAGUCAGGUGGAAAAUGAAAUACAACUAUCCCCUCUCUAAGCUGAGAGGAUAGAUCUUCUUGGGUUUGAAGGGUUGAGGAUAACAAGAGUAAUCUGGACAGAGCAGCUUUCUUCUAAGGGCCUCAGAACUCUCUGUGGACACGCUUCUCUCUGCAAAAAUGGCUCUCACUCCAUUUCUGUGAGAACUCUUCCCGCAAACUCGGGUCCCUAAGAGGAUUAGUGAAGGGGAUACCAAUUUAUUUAUACUCACCUCAGCAUGGUAGCAGCCAAACACUUGCCUGGCUUGCAUGGUCCCAAGCAGAGUUAAAUGCAUGUCUAUGACCACAAGAGGAUGACGCCCUUGUUUCUUUGUGCCAGCCUGGAGGCCCUUAGGUGCCACAGUUUAAGCCCUUGAAAAACAAGGCUGCUGGACACUCUAGUAAAUAAAGUGUCCGGAUGUCAGCGAUGAUUCAUAAAAGCAAUUAAAAAAGGAAAGUGCCGUGCUGCUGAGCGUAAUGUCUUGAAGAUGUCCUUAAGAGUGUGUAAUGCUGCAGACAGUGGUCAGUGGGUAGUAGAUGACCAAUCUGUUUCCAGCAUAACUCUUCACUUGGUUCUCAUGAUCAAAACUUUUGAUAUAUAUAUCAAAUAUAUAUAUAUAGAUGAAUUUUCCUCAUUCAGCCAUUGCUUCAAAAUAGGGUUGGGUUUUCUUUCAGUGCUCCCCUCUUGCCUUACAGCCCCGACAAGGCACAGAGCACCCAACUUGUGGUGCCAUUUGCAAUAAGCAAGACAGAACUGUGUUAUAACACAACUGGGACUCUUGUUGCAUGCAGAGAUACCCAGCGUGGCCACAUGGCCUAUGCAAGAGGUAGGCAUGCUCUGCAAACAUCUCUCUGCAUGGCUUUCCCACUCCUUAACUAACCUGUGAGCUCCCAGCUAUGCUACUAUCUCUGUCCAUUGCCUUGCCUCCUCCAGCUGGAUGCCUUUUGCUUCUCUUGGUGUCUGCACGUGGUCCAGAGCUGGGGCUUGGCUCUGCUGUGCCCUUCAUUAGACCAGGCAUAUAUGCUAAGGGAAGCAAAAUAGUUUACUGAUUUAUCAUGGAUCAUUAGAUGGAGUAACUAUUCUUAAAACAUCACCAGUAUAGAUACAAUAAUUAGAGAUGUGCUUUUGUUAACAUUGCCAGCCUCUACCCUCUUGUACAGUACCCUUGGGUACUAAAUAAUUACCCACUUUGUGUGGUUAUCUAGCUCACUAAUUACCCACAAAAAUUGGGGUCAGGUGUUAACUGCUUGAAAUAAGUAUCCUCCAAAGACUUGGUUAAAUUGUGUAAAGAAAUUAUGUGUUUGCAGCAAAACUUAGGGGGAAAAAAAAAGAAAUAGAAACUUUUGUUGUUGUUGGAAGGAAGAGGGGAAAGCAGGGAAGACAAUGGAUGUAAAUUGCCCUCUGUGAUGGCAACAUCUUGCACACAGCUCUGAUGCUGCGGAUGGAGUCUGUAAGAAGGGAGGAUGGCUGCCGGGUACGGUCUCUCUCAUCCUCUGCUUCUCCCAUAGAGUCUGAUUCUUCCCCUGUCCAGGCUGAUGUCAGUGAGGUUUGCAUUGGUAUAAAUGAGAAAUGUUGUACGCAUGGAUUCCUGGGCUGCCUUUACUGCAUAACUCCCCCUCCUCUGUCACUCAGGGACUUCUGCAUUGCACCCAAUAACUGAAUUAUGCAUUGUAUAUGUAUUUCCAUAUGUUUAUUUUAGCUGUUUCAAGCUCUCUAUGCAUGCAGAAUCUCAUUCCAGGGCUGCUGCUCGUAAAAUGUAACUCGCUUUGAGUAAUAAUUUAAUUCCUGCGUUCAGGGAGUUACCCCAGUGAGUCAAAGAUUUCUAGAUAGCCCCACCCUCCCCAACUUCCCGAACACUUACACUGCAGUCACUUUCUCUUUGCCAGACCCACACAAGACGCCAAGCCAGCCAAAAUCCCAGGAGGCAGCUUGUCCUGCCUGCCCCCUUUUAGCCCCAGGGAAAUAGGAAAUAAAACCCCGAGAGCCCCGAAACCAAAGCCUGUGAAAUACCUGCCGUAGAACAGAGGGAUAUUGAAUAGCCCGUCCUCCUAACCUGCUGUCUCACACUGGGGCUCGCUGUCUGUAGCACAAAGGAAAUUGAUGGAAGUGGGAACGAAGAUGAUUCUGAAAAUCCCACCGUGCAGCCUCGGGAUCUCUGGCCGCAUAGAUACCCUUAACGCUGCAGUGCUGAGCACCUGCACAGCUCCCUGCCUAACAAAGGAGCUGCCUUAUUUAUUUAUUUCCUCGUCGGCUUUCGGUGCUUUACUCCCCUGCGGUUCCCACACAGGCAGGCUGGAUAGGGUCCGGUUCUGGGUAUCAUCAGUGCCCCCCUCCCCGUAGCUCGGGGUAAGGGGGGGGGGGGUCUCAGGUGAUGCUUUCUAGCCAGGGCUGUGCCCAUCUUUAGGGGCGUACCUGCGUUCUGCAUCCCUGCAGGCAUCAGCCCUGCAGAGCACAAUGCAGAUUUAGUCGUCAUCUUUGUCUCCCCCCCCCAUUCCUCCCCACCCCACCCCCCCUCGGCCCCGCUCCCCGCUGAUGUUAACUGUCUGUAUUAUUAUUUAUUGUUAUCAAGGGAUUUGGUUUGAUCAAUGAAGUGUAUAUACGUCUGACGGACAUUCGGGGAGGAAAUGCUUGGAGAAUGAGUAACAUGUCUGCAGUGGAGGGUGUGUGUGUGAGGAGAGAGAGCAGCAUCGGUCCUAGAAACAUUGACUGAUGAGUUCAUUUUAAAAUCCAAGGGCAUCUAGCUGGUAAAUUAGCACAUAUUGCAAAUAUAGUCUGGUGCGAGAGGCAGCGGCUCUGCCAUGGAGCAGGGGGUGGGUGCGGAGGGGUGGGGGUCGAGAAGAGGAGAUCGUCAGCUCUAAAGUCACGGCGGGCAGGAGCCGGGCGGUCCGCCUGCAUCCACGCAGACUCGGGGCGUGCGAUUAUUCCACGGGCGGCUGCGGGUUGCGGUGUGACGGGGAGGGGAGCGGGGUGGGGGGGGUGGGGGGAGCGAGCGAGAUAGCAGCGGUGGAUUUUAUUGUUUUAAAAUCCAGCUCCAGCCAGAGGGAUGCUCGGCGGAGAGCUGCGGUCCCACCACUCCCCCUUUCCUUCUUCCAACCCCCCCUUUCCCCUCCCUCCCCUUCUCCCCGCAGCCCCGCGGGAAGGUGCCGGCGGGGUCCCGGGGCCGCAGGCAGGGGCUGCCCGGCGGCGGCGGGGCCGGGGCGGCCGCGGCGGUUCCUCCCGGGAGCUUAAGGGAUUAUUGGGGAGGGGGGAGCGGGUCGGGGUGUACGCGAGGCUGGCGGCGGCGGCGGGGGGGAGCCGGGUCCUUAUUCUGUUAAAGAUUUAAGUAGGCAUGCAAGGAAUCUCUAGGAUAGUUGGCAAAGGGCGAGGGUGGGGAGGGGGGGGGGAAGGAUCCAAAAGAGUCUGUAACCAGACACUGAAGCUUUCCAGGAGUGAGAGUGUGUGAGAGAGACGGAGACAGAGCGAGAGGAAGAGAGGGGGCAGUGUGGUCUAGUACAUUUUCAUCUGGUCGUUGAUUUGAGCCUGAUGCUUGCUGUCCCUCAACAGCCUCCCUUGCCUGUAUUUUUUCUUUCCCCCUCUCCUCUCCUUUCCCUUCUACUUCAUCGAAGCCUAGGGGAGCCAGUAAAGAUUAAAUGUGCUUUCUAAAAGGCAGCCACUUCAUGCAGCUAUGUCUGCUCACCUCCCCCCCCCAACCCAGCCGCCCCCCCCCCCUCCCUUCCACUCCCCCUUUUAUUUCGAAAUUAAAAAAAAUAAUAAUAGAAAAAAAUAGAAAAAAAAAGGAAAAAAGCGAGGGGGGGAGAAGGAAGGAGGAGGAAGAGGAGGACUGGAGUUUAAUGAUGUCGGGACUGGCUGAUCCAGGAGGAGGAAAAAGAAAUAAUAGGAAAAAAAA
Coturnix japonica (Japanese quail) is the source of this 6075-nucleotide non-coding RNA. The record is from RefSeq and is a predicted model, not a curated record. NCBI's taxonomy places the organism in Eukaryota, Metazoa, Chordata, Aves, Galliformes, Phasianidae.